AAUUUGAAUAAAAUUUUUGUAGUGGUGGCAUUUUUAAGUUGCUCAACUAAUUCAGUAAUCGCAGUUUUGACUUUUGGAAGAUCGAGCUCACCAUGAUGUUUAUUGUAUCUGUAUUAUCGGUUUUUGUCGAAGCGACUUUGACAAAGGGAAAAAAGGGCACGCCGUGAGGCAAGUCGUAGGUUUUGGCUAAGCCAAGUCCGGGAUCGUAUCGAGUAAUGUAUUACAAAUCCUCGUACAACAUAAAAAAACGAAAUCGUCUUUAACGUUAAAUUCGCUGAAAAGAAAGGAAAAUUGUCAGCGGGAAACUAUAGGUCAAGCAUGAAAACAUCUGAUUCAAACAAAAGAAGUUGAUGUCGAUGAUGAAGACACGGUCAUUGAUUCUUCUGAUAAUCUUAUUCGGACCAGAACAAAGUGGGUCUAACGUCUCCGUCAAUUCGGAGAAAAACAUGGGAACAUGUGUAGAAAUUCUUCAGAAUGAAAGGAAAAAACAUCCAAGAAGAACUCGCCUGGAAUGCAUUGAGAUCUUCUUUGAAAAAUAGGUGCGAAGACCAAGAAGAACAGUUGGUAACAAGUGUAGCCAAGAUUCAGAAGCACCACACAUUAAGGCGGCUUUAAAAGUUCUGUGCCAACGCUCAAUAAGCCUAUUUGACUGAUGAUGGUAUGGUGCAGUGUGUAUACGUUGACUUGACUCAAACUGGGUCGGUAGUAGUCGUGAGAGUGGUACCAAACUGUUGACCUCUGGAAGUUCUAUGAUGUCCAGAUGGAUGUGAUCAAAGCAACAGUCUGGGACGUCGAUGUGUCGCGAGUCAAAUGCGGUUGUGUCGUUGGACUUUGGAACGCUGGCACUCGAUGCAUUCCCUGGACCAUUGGAGGUCAGGCCAAACGAACUUCAAUUGACGAGCUGUAGUGUGGCCACUGGGAUGACAAGGUUCGUGAAAGACGUUGAAAGUUUGUUUGCGAAGAGGUUCAGGUAAGUACAGUCGAAUCCUGCUAGUUGAGUUGUCACAGUAAAUGAUAUGACCUUGAUUAAGAAGCUGAAGUUUCAGAGUAUAGUCAUCAUUUUAUAGAUCCUGAAGCACUUGAUCAAGUUGUUUGGCGUCUUCAAUCGUUUGAAAAUCUAGCGCUGUGGGCAUGUUGAUGGCGUUAACUCUCGACAGGGCAUCCGCAACAAAAUUCUCUUCGCCCUUUACAUAAACAAUCUCAGUGGUGAAUUCAGAGAUGAAGCUGAGCUGAUUGAGCUGUCGAGGGACGUUUUUUCUACUUUCUGAGCAAAAGUGUGCACUAAGGGCGAUGAUCAGUCUUGAUCACGAAUGAGCGACCUUCCAGAAUGUAGCGGAAGAAUUUGAUGAGUUUUCUAGAGUAAAAACCAAUAGGCCUUCAUAUACCAUUUUCAAAUUGCUCUAAUGAAGCAUCAAUGACAUGGUCGAAAGCGUCUGUAUAUAGAGCGAUAAAUGCUGAAGGUGACAAAAACACAGUGACAACGGGUGAUGAUAUCCUGGACUUGCACUGUUCUAGCGCAGCUUUAAGCUCAGGCGUCCAAUUAAUUUUGGUCUUGUCGUGCUUCUUGACAUUCUUUAACAGCCCAUUGAGAGGUGCCUGAAUGGUAGAGGCGCUUGGGAUGCAGUGACGGUAAUAAUUAAGUUAAGUUAAUUAAGAAAACGUCGGAGAUCAGAAAUAGUCUCAGGGGUUGGAAAUUUCAGGAUGGCUUCCACCUUCUCCGAUGGAGUUGUGAAUCUAUGUUUGUCAAGAUGAUAGCCCAGGUUAUUCUCUUGCAUCAUAUCUUGAGAAUAUCCUCCAAAUGCUUGACAUGCUCUUCGGGGGAUUUGGAAAAAAGUCCUCAAUGAAACAAGAGGCAAAGUCUACGUUGCGAAGAAUGUUAUCCAUGUGACGUUGAAAGGUUUGGAUAGCAUUUCUGAGACCAUCAUGCAAAACUCAGACCGAAUGGAAUUUGAUAGUAGGCUAGGUUAAGAAUGUUGAGCACGGUGUAGUAAGUCAUGGAUUAAUGGAAUUGGGUAACUGUCUGGCACUGUAUGCUUAUUUAGGCGGCGAUAAUCACACAUUGAGCGCCAACCACUAUGUCUUUUGGACACCAUAUUGAUUGGACUUGCCCAUUCACUGCUCGAGAAUCUAAUACUGCCAUGCUGAAGCAAAAGAUUGGAAUCAGCUUUAGCUGCUAAGUAAAUCUCACCUAGGACGUUUCGUCACAAGUCAUUCAGAAGUGAGGAUGUGGUGACGAAAUUUAACUUGUGAAUGAUUGGAAUUGGCUUUGGCAGAGUGAUAUCGUCAAAUUUUUGUAGGAGCUGCCUGUACGGUGGUUUUAUGGUGUCGGUAGAAGAACCAUGAGAGGAAGCUGUGGUAGAGAUACUGUGCAUUAAUGCUUCUGCAAUGUUACCAUUCACAGUGUGUCUGGUGGUUCUGUCGAUGACACACUGGCCUUGUACAUCGAUAAGUAGUCCAAAAUAGGCCAAAAAGCUUGCAUUGAUGAUUGAUAUCAGCAAGGAUGAAUAACCAUUUGAAAUCUUGGAGAAGGCCAAAUUGUAGAAAGCGAUGGUGUCUACCUUUGUGAUGAAUACAAGAAUGUGGGAUAAUGGAAAGUAUGGGUCCAGACACAGGAAUACCAAACUGCUGCGCUUAUCGCUGACGAAAAGGCGGUAUCUUUUAAUGAUUCAUUGCUGUUGUUGUCGCUUACCGCCGUUGCUGACGACAGCAUUGCUAGUUUCCCUCCAGCGAAGGCGAUUGAUCUGAAGUAGGCUUGAAUGUACAGGGCUUAUUGCAACGUCGCACGCGAUUACAAAAAUUAUGGUGAUAGUAGCAGUGUCCUACCGGUGAAAUAUGCAGCUUUCUGGUGCUGGAUUGUGAGCGAGCGCUUUUCUAAUCUCCUUGAGUUCAGCCAUAACAGAGGCAGAAGGAUAGCUGGAGUGAGUGGUAACAUUCAUCACGAAAUGCAAUAAUUCAGCAAGUUCAUCGGAUGAUGACGUGGCUUGGAAAACAAAUAGCAAUUUUUGGACGAUCGAAGGAAGUAAUGCUAACCAGUGGACUCAUAGAGCGUUCUCAGGGGCUUGGGAGCUUAUCAUGUACCGCAUAAGCCUGAGCAACUCUGAAGGUUUUCUACCGCCAAGCUCGAGUUCAGCCAGAACUUUGUGUAGUUGGUUAUCUGCCGAAUCAGUUAGGAGAUUAACAAGCUCAGUUUUGAGGGUAUUGUACUUAUAUGUAAUGGGUGGUGAUUUGAUAAUUUCGGUGACAGCUAACAAUGCCUCUGGAGUCAGGUUGCUGACGAUUAGGAACCACGUCUCCGGGUGGUCCUUCCAGAAGGACGGGAGUUUGCAAUUUUGAAUGGAGGAUAUUUCGCCGGAUCCUUAGGCUCGGAGUCACCAAUAUAGGGUCCUAAUAUAACGCGCCAUGUAAAUGUUUAUUAAUAUAUACAGCCCCAAGCGUACAGGCAAUAAUAUUAAUUUAUAACAAGGAAAGAAGAUACAAAAGAUUCAUAAAAGUUGAAUGUUGGUCUGAUACAUGUGAAGAUGAUAAAUGAUAAAAGAAAUAACUAUGCCACGUCCUGGCUAAUCGUCUGCGUCAGGGUGAAUAAACUUAGUGACAGGUUCUAAUUCGCGCUUGACUUCGUCCAGUGGUUACAAAUUUGGCGAGCACUUCCUAUAGACUUUCGUGGUAGUGGACACCGACUCGACGCGCGGAAUUAGUGUCCGUUUGCGCUAGCGGCGCUUGUGUGCAACCUCGUUGUUGACUUUAUCCGUACGUUUAUGAGAGCGGGAAGUCGAGACCGCCACAAGCCCGCCACUACGCGCCAUCUCCUGCUUCUUUGUAGAAUAUCUGACUCACUCUAUUUAGAUUGUACAUUUAUACUAGUCUCUUUUGUCUACCAAUAGGUGUAUAUACAAUAACUACAGGUUUAUAGGAUUAUGUUGGGAUGAUUAAACCGAAUUAUAUACCAAAUGGAGCCGUUUGACCACGAAAGGACGAUUUUCUUUGAUUCCUUAAAUGAGCUCGUACAAUUUUACUAAGGCUAGGCACACACUUGUGAUUACCGUCGUGCGAUUAAAACAUCGUAGUCGCAAGUGUGCGUUUAGAAAAAUAGACAUGUUGUAAUUUGUUAAUCUUUGAGGCACUUUGAGUUUUUUUAACAUUAAAUUCAAUACAUUAGUGUAGUGCAUUAAUAACUUACUACCUAAUACGUAAGUUAAUUCAAAAUUAAUUCAAUUAUCCAUUUCUUUUAUCCUUAUUUAAAAAUGUGUAUUCUAUUUGCGUAUAGUCUAAUGAAAGUACUAAUUUUUGAUGUAUUUUACAUAUGAGAAGGCUGAAGACCAGUCCUACCGAUAGAUACAAUCUGUAAAACUUUGAACGGUUAAGUACGUACGUCAGUGAGUUUUUCCAUAGCUUAAUUUUGGCUUGUUAUUUAAAAACUAUACCCGCAGCAGUUUCGGAUUAAAACAAAGAUCCUUAUAUCGACAACAAUUCUUAAAAGGUACAGCUUUUUUGAAACAACUGGAAGAUGCGGCCUGCAAUUUGAACAAAAUUUGGUAGGCACAUAGAUAUUCACAUGGAGAUACUAUUUUUUUAAAGGUAAUGAAUUUUAUAAAUAUACAGCAACAGCAGAACAAAAAUUAAACAAAUUUGAGGAUAACUUGUUUUUAAUGUAAUUUAUUAUUUCAAUUAUUUUUUCUUAAAAGUGCUCUUCUUCGAUUUUACUACAAUACAGUUUGUCUAUUAAGAAAAAUGUGUAACUGA
Molecule: long non-coding RNA, 4740 nt
Filed under: Agrilus planipennis (emerald ash borer)
Lineage: Eukaryota; Metazoa; Arthropoda; Insecta; Coleoptera; Buprestidae
Description: uncharacterized LOC108743482, transcript variant X6
Source: RNAcentral